UGCAGUCGAGCGGACCGACGGGAGCUUGCUCCCUUAGGUCAGCGGCGGACGGGUGAGUAACACGUGGGUAACCUGCCUGUAAGACUGGGAUAACUCCGGGAAACCGGGGCUAAUACCGGAUGCUUGAUUGAACCGCAUGGUUCAAUCAUAAAAGGCGGCUUCGGCUGCCGUUUACAGAUGGACCCGCGGCGCAUUAGCUAGUUGGUGAGGUAACGGCUCACCAAGGCGACGAUGCGUAGCCGACCUGAGAGGGUGAUCGGCCACACUGGGACUGAGACACGGCCCAGACUCCUACGGGAGGCAGCAGUAGGGAAUCUUCCGCAAUGGACGAAAGUCUGACGGAGCAACGCCGCGUGAGUGAUGAAGGUUUUCGGAUCGUAAAGCUCUGUUGUUAGGGAAGAACAAGUACCGUUCGAAUAGGGCGGUACCUUGACGGUACCUAACCAGAAAGCCACGGCUAACUACGUGCCAGCAGCCGCGGUAAUACGUAGGUGGCAAGCGUUGUCCGGAAUUAUUGGGCGUAAAGCGCGCGCAGGCGGUUUCUUAAGUCUGAUGUGAAAGCCCCCGGCUCAACCGGGGAGGGUCAUUGGAAACUGGGGAACUUGAGUGCAGAAGAGGAGAGUGGAAUUCCACGUGUAGCGGUGAAAUGCGUAGAGAUGU
RNAcentral lists this ribosomal RNA (660 nucleotides) under Bacillus sp. CSu3_38. RNAcentral describes it as "bacterial SSU rRNA". It matches the Rfam family "Bacterial small subunit ribosomal RNA", at positions 56 to 699 of the family's 1533-position model. RNAcentral also lists the same sequence under 1 other name. The record is from RNAcentral. Lineage: Bacteria; Bacillati; Bacillota; Bacilli; Caryophanales; Bacillaceae.